This 945-nucleotide ribosomal RNA is filed under the name uncultured bacterium. Its description in RNAcentral is "bacterial SSU rRNA". It matches the Rfam family "Bacterial small subunit ribosomal RNA", at positions 531 to 1482 of the family's 1533-position model. The record is from RNAcentral.
GUGGAGGUCGUUAUCGGAUUACUGGGCGUAAGCGUGCGCAGGCGGUUUUGUAAGUCUGUCGUGAAAGCCCCGGGCUCAACCUGGGAAUUGCGAUGGAGACUGCAAGGCUUGAAUCUGGCAGAGGGGGGUAGAAUUCCACGUGUAGCAGUGAAAUGCGUAGAGAUGUGGAGGAACACCGAUGGCGAAGGCAGCCCCCUGGGUCAAGAUUGACGCUCAUGCACGAAAGCGUGGGGAGCAAACAGGAUUAGAUACCCUGGUAGUCCACGCCCUAAACGAUGUCUACUAGUUGUCGGGUUUUAAUUAACUUGGUAACGCAGCUAACGCGUGAAGUAGACCGCCUGGGGAGUACGGUCGCAAGAUUAAAACUCAAAGGAAUUGACGGGGACCCGCACAAGCGGUGGAUGAUGUGGAUUAAUUCGAUGCAACGCGAAAAACCUUACCUACCCUUGACAUGUCAGGAACCUCCGAGAGAUCGGGGGGUGCCCGAAAGGGAACCUGAACACAGGUGCUGCAUGGCUGUCGUCAGCUCGUGUCGUGAGAUGUUGGGUUAAGUCCCGCAACGAGCGCAACCCUUGUCAUUAGUUGCUACAUUCAGUUGAGCACUCUAAUGAGACUGCCGGUGACAAACCGGAGGAAGGUGGGGAUGACGUCAAGUCCUCAUGGCCCUUAUGGGUAGGGCUUCACACGUCAUACAAUGGUACAUACAGAGGGCCGCCAACCCGCGAGGGGGAGCUAAUCCCAGAAAGUGUAUCGUAGUCCGGAUCGCAGUCUGCAACUCGACUGCGUGAAGUUGGAAUCGCUAGUAAUCGCGGAUCAGCAUGUCGCGGUGAAUACGUGCCCGGGUCUUGUACACACCGCCCGUCACACCAUGGGAGCGGGUUUUACCAGAAGUAGUAGCUUAACCGCAAGGAGGGCGCUUACCACGGUAGAUUCGUGACUGGGGUG